This 76-nucleotide transfer RNA is filed under the name Salmonella enterica subsp. enterica serovar Enteritidis. RNAcentral describes it as "tRNA-Lys". It matches the Rfam family "tRNA". Rfam says of the family: Transfer RNA (tRNA) molecules are approximately 80 nucleotides in length. Their secondary structure includes four short double-helical elements and three loops (D, anti-codon, and T loops). The record is from RNAcentral. Lineage: Bacteria; Pseudomonadati; Pseudomonadota; Gammaproteobacteria; Enterobacterales; Enterobacteriaceae.
GGGGCGGUCGCUCAGUUGGUAGAGCAGUUGACUUUUAAUCAAUUGGUCGCAGGUUCGAAUCCUGCACGACCCACCA